CCUACGGGUGGCAGCAGUAGGGAAUAUUGCUCAAUGGGGGAAACCCUGACGCAGCGACGCCGCGUGGAGGAUGAAGGUUUUCGGAUUGUAAACUCCUUUUGUCAGAGAAGAUAAUGACGGUAUCUAACGAAUAAGCAACGGCUAACUCCGUGCCAGCAGCCGCGGUAAUACGGAGGGUGCAAGCGUUACUCGUAAUCACUGGGCGUAAAGUGCGCGGAGGCGGGAUAGCAAGUCAGAUGUGAAAUCCUAGGGCUUAACCAUAGAACUGCAUUUGAAACUGUUAUUCUAGAGUAUGGGAGAGGUAAGUGGAAUUCUUGGUGUAGGAGUGAAAUCCGUAGAUAUCAAGAGGAAUACUCAUGGCGAAGGCGACCUGCUAGAACAUAACUGACGCUGAUGCGCGAAAGCGUGGGGAGCAAACAGGAUUAGAUACCCGAGUAGUC
Molecule: ribosomal RNA, 440 nt
Filed under: uncultured bacterium
Lineage: Bacteria
Description: partial 16S ribosomal RNA
Rfam family: Bacterial small subunit ribosomal RNA
Source: RNAcentral